Long non-coding RNA from Varroa destructor (honeybee mite), 863 nucleotides. RefSeq lists it as uncharacterized. The record is from RefSeq and is a predicted model, not a curated record. NCBI's taxonomy places the organism in Eukaryota, Metazoa, Arthropoda, Arachnida, Mesostigmata, Varroidae.
GACAAUUUCUUUGAUCUAAGCUCCACUCAUGCGCAUUGUUGGGCAUGCAACCAAAGCAGUUGCAACCUUCUGGCGGACCAGACUCGUUAAUGUAUUCCUAGCUAGGAAAUGAAUCAGGACGACGACGAUAUCAGAGUCACUGUUAUCGAUCGCUUUAGGCUUAGAAGGCCUAAAUAACCUUUGCAAAACCGAGUUUAUAAGUGAGAUACUGUAUAUAGCCAUCACCAUACGCUUGAGACAGGCACGGCGAAGCAGUUGCGGGUAAUAACUGCCAUUUCGUUGCGGAAUGGGGAUUGUAACAACAAGUUUGACUACUGCUUGCAAACUUCCUGGGCUGCCGUGCCCUAACUCGAUAAAAAAAAAAAGAGAAAAGGACGAACCAGUAGUAAAGGACGACUCAACGGGUGUAUUUCAGUGUCUGAAAAAGGCAACAACAUGGUGCAGUGAUAGUACCAUGCCUCAUUCAGCCUAACGAUGACGAUCCCUUUCCUGCCUCUGCAAAUGAACAUGAUGCAAUCUCCCGAUUCUCGAGUAUAGAAUUAUCAGUUAACCUAUUGAUAAAUUCUCCAACGUGGGAUGGUUACGAAAAUCGGCUAGAUUACCUUGUUGACAAGUGAGCUUGCUUCGGACCGUUGCCGAUACGACGGCUCGUUGUUAACCACGCUAUAUAUUUUAUAAGCGAAUAAAUAUUAAUACGUAUUUUACGUGCCUUUAGCUAAAAUCGUGCGAUGGAUUUGUUAGCAGAAAUUAACUAAGUAGUUAAGGCAUGCUUACACAAGGAGACUUAAUUAUUUUUUGACCAAACGAUCGUCUGUCCUUUUUUAUGUUGUGUUGCAUCAUUUACUAGCAUAUAUAUACUUAUG